GAUGAACGCUGGCGGCGUGCCUAAUACAUGCAAGUCGAGCGAACGGACGAGAAGCUUGCUUCUCUGAUGUUAGCGGCGGACGGGUGAGUAACACGUGGAUAACCUACCUACAAGACUGGGAUAACUUCGGGAAACCGGAGCUAAUACCGGAUAAUAUUUUGAACCGCAUGGUUCAAAAGUGAAAGGCGGUCUUGCUGUCACUUAUAGAUGGAUCCGCGCUGCAUUAGCUAGUUGGUAAGGUAACGGCUUACCAAGGCAACGAUGCAUAGCCGACCUGAGAGGGUGAUCGGCCACACUGGAACUGAGACACGGUCCAGACUCCUACGGGAGGCAGCAGUAGGGAAUCUUCCGCAAUGGGCGAAAGCCUGACGGAGCAACGCCGCGUGAGUGAUGAAGGUCUUCGGAUCGUAAAACUCUGUUAUUAGGGAAGAACAUAUGUGUAAGUAACUGUGCACAUCUUGACGGUACCUAAUCAGAAAGCCACGGCUAACUACGUG
RNAcentral lists this ribosomal RNA (497 nucleotides) under uncultured bacterium. RNAcentral describes it as "partial 16S ribosomal RNA". It matches the Rfam family "Bacterial small subunit ribosomal RNA", at positions 28 to 507 of the family's 1533-position model. The record is from RNAcentral.